Podarcis muralis (Common wall lizard) is the source of this 1845-nucleotide non-coding RNA. NCBI's taxonomy places the organism in Eukaryota, Metazoa, Chordata, Lepidosauria, Squamata, Lacertidae. The record is from RefSeq and is a predicted model, not a curated record.
CACCGGUCAAAGCUGAAGGAGUUAAGGGGCAGAGGGGUUAGGAAAGAGACCCAGAUGGGGAAGAUGAAACAGAUCAAUGGAUCAUCCAGCUUCAAACAAAACUGGUGGUAAAAAUGGUAUUCCACGAUUGAAGGACAUUUGGGUGAGUAUCCCUUGCUUGGCUAGGGUGAAAAUCUCUAUUGUGUUCCAUCUGCAACUCAUUGUGCUAAGACUCUUUCAGGUUGCGGUGACAGAGUUGUCAGAAGGGGCCGUAUUCUGUUUCACCACAAUGAGGCUCACCUGCAGGUAGGAGAAGACAUCUUCUUUUCUUCCAGCUCUUCUUUCCUGGACUGUGCUGCUUUAGGUAAGUUCACAUUCCACCACUCAGUUGUCUUUUUUCAAGACAUUGUUUUUUGUGUUGGUCUCUCCUUUUUCUCAUUUUCUUUUCUGCUGGUCUCUUCACGGGUCUCUCCAAAGAUCCUACAACACUGAGAUGAAGCCAGCUCUUUCACAAGAGUCACAGAAAGCUGUGAUUAAUGGCUCAUCCAGCUUUAAAUAAAAUGGCGGUCAAAAUGGUAUUCCGUGACUGAAGGACAUUUAGGUGAGUAUCCCUUGCUUGGCCAGGGAGGAAAUCUCUAUUGCGUUCUGUCUGCAACUCAUUGGGCUAAGACUCUUUCAGGUUGGGGUGACUGAGUCAUCAGAAGAGGCCCUAUUCCGUGUCAUCACGAUGAGGCUCACCUGCAGGUAGGAGAACACUUCUUCUUUUGUUCCAGCCCUUCUUUUGUUCCGGCUCGUCUUUCCUUCAGGUUUCUCAGAGUAUCCCUUGCAUGGCUAGGGGGAAAUCUUCAUUGUGUUCCGUCUGCAACUCAUUGGGCUAAGACUUUUUCAGGUUGCGGUGACAGAGUUGUCAGAAGAGGCCCUAUUCCGUGUCAUUACGAUGAGGCUCACCUGCAGGUAGGAGAAGACUUCUUCUUUUCUUCCAGCUCUUCUUUCCUUCAGGCUUCGCAGAGUUCAGUAUACCUGAAGUGAGAGUUGCCUACAUUUGGACUGUGCUGCUUUAGGUAAGUUCACAUUCCAUCACCCAGUUGUCUUUUUCAAGACAAUGUUUUUUUGUAUUGGUCACUUCUUUUUCCUAUUUUCCUUUUUCUCUUCACAGGUCUAUCCAAAGAGCUCUUCUUAACAUCUUAAGGUUUUCUUUUUCCUGAGAGAACAUUUGCAGAAUGUUCUCUCAGGUUUUGCUUUUCCCCUUGUUGCAUUGCUCAAAAAAAAAGCAAAAGACACUGGUGGUCGGCGCUCCUGGUUCCCAGGACGGGGUUCAAAUCCCUGCGGUGUCCAUGCUUACUUCCAAUGCAACUGCUAUCUCUCUCUAUCUCUCUAUCCCUCUCUAUCUCUCUCUGUCUAUCCCUAUCUAUCUCUUUCUGUCUCUCUAUCCCACACUGCCCAAAUAACAAUUGGCUCCCUUUCUCUUAAGUAUUAGCAUGGGAGGGUGGUGACUUCAGUGACUAGCAUGGAGCUAUUAUAAUGAUUUGUGUUUUUAACUACUUCCCCUCUCUUUUACCAGCAUAGACAAUGAGGCCUAUGAGGCACCGGCAUAUGAGGAGGUGGUGACUACUGGCUACUUAUUGGGACCAACCAUCUGGACCAUCACCUCCAGUCCAGGGACAACCCCAGUGGAACCCCCUCCGUACAGCGUGGUCAUUGAGCCUCCUGCCCACGGAGAGAUUGUGGUCGAAGCAGUGGCACCAGGCACACGCCGUGCCUCAGAGGCAGAUCUACAGUCCAGGUUCCGCCUCAGGUUGCUCAUGCCACCAAAACUGCAGCGAUUUGUCUCGGAUACCCACGAACUCAAAGGUAUUGAAGAGCGGG